Brassica rapa (field mustard) is the source of this 908-nucleotide long non-coding RNA. RefSeq lists it as uncharacterized. The record is from RefSeq and is a predicted model, not a curated record. Lineage: Eukaryota; Viridiplantae; Streptophyta; Magnoliopsida; Brassicales; Brassicaceae.
GUUUAAAUCGAGUGUAUGUGUGUAUUUGUGCAUAAAUCAUGGUGAUCAAGAAGAUACAAGGAAAAAAAGAAAAAAACGAGUCCACAUCGAAAGAAAUCGUGAAGAAGGCAAUGUGCGUUUAUGGAAUGAUUAUUUCAGUGAAACUCCAACAUAUCCUCAAAAUCUAUUCCGACGGCGAUUUAGAAUGAACAAGCCAUUGUUCACGCGUAUUGUUAAUCGACUCUCCAAUGAAGUUGAAUUCUUUCGACAAAAGAAUGAUGCUAUCGGAAGGUCUAGUCUCUCUCCACUUCAAAAGUGUACAACAGUCAUUCGUGUCUUGGCAUAUGGUACUGCGGCUGAUGAUGUUGACGAAUACCUCCGACUCGGUGAAACUACUACUCGGUCAUGUGUGGAACAUUUUGUGGAAGGAAUAAUUUAUUUAUUCGGCGAUGAGUCCCUAAGAAGACCAACACCGGCUGAUCUUCAACGUCUACUUCAAGUUGGUGAGUUCCGUAGAUUUCCCGGGAUGAUAGGAAGCAUCGAUUGUAUGCAUUGGGAGUGGAAGAAUUGUCCGACCGCUUGGAAAGGGCAAUAUACACGUGGUUCGAGAAAACCCACAAUUGUUUUAGAGGUGACCGGAAGUUCACAUGUCGAUCUCGAUUAUUCUACGGAUAUGCCUACAAAUAUCGCCAAUAUGUUGGGUGGUCGAACCAGAAUUCGUGAUAGACAAAUGCAUCAACAACUCAAAGCUGAUUUGGUUGAACAUUUAUGGAGUAAAUUUGGACAUGAUAAAAACAACAACUGAGUUCGGAAUGUUUCUUUCAAAUUAUUCUCGUUCAUUUUAGUAAUUCUGUUUUUUUUAAUUAUAAAAUGUAUGUUUAAAAUGUUCUAUUUUAUUAAGUUUUAUUUAAUAAAUAAAUUUUAUCUUU